RNAcentral lists this small RNA (25 nucleotides) under Arabidopsis thaliana (thale cress). RNAcentral describes it as "ATSL136220". The record is from RNAcentral. Lineage: Eukaryota; Viridiplantae; Streptophyta; Magnoliopsida; Brassicales; Brassicaceae.
CAUCCGAUGAUUUUCUCUCUGUUUU